UAUAAGCCAAACAAAACUCUACUAUAGAAAGAACGUUCAUAGGACUAUCAUAAGAAGAAGUGGAUUUGUUGCUUUUGGACUAGCAUCAUUCUUAAGGUUUAUGUUAGCUUGCUAAUGUUCUUAGAUUUGGAUUUCGAGCUUUCUUGAUAUCGGCUUGAACUUUAUGCUUUGUAUUUUUAGUGUAUCUUGAUUCCAUUUUAGUUUCCGGAGAAUUCACUGUUUCUUCCGGCUUAAGCCAAACAAAACUCUACUAUAGAAAGAACGUUCAUAGGACUAUCAUAAGAAGAAGUGGAUUUGUUGCUUUUGGACUAGCAUCAUUCUUAAGGUUUAUGUUAGCUUGCUAAUGUUCUUAGAUUUGGAUUUCGAGCUUUCUUGAUAUCGGCUUGAACUUUAUGCUUUGUAUUUUUAGUGUAUCUUGAUUCCAUUUUAGUUUCCGGAGAAUUCACUGUUUCUUCCGGCUUAUGACUUUGGGGACUUUUAGUUGUCCGCUGACUUAGUUUCCUUCUUUUGGGCGUUUGGUUUCUUGUAAGGUUCCAUCUCAAGUUCUAAUAAAAUUUCUAGUGACAAAAAAAAGAAAAAAGAAAGAACGUUUGUGGAACAGACCAAACACUUCAACACGUUGCGCCACGCUAUUCUGCGAACCUUCAAUCAGUUUAUAUACAAUUUUGUU
Molecule: small RNA, 670 nt
Filed under: Arabidopsis thaliana (thale cress)
Lineage: Eukaryota; Viridiplantae; Streptophyta; Magnoliopsida; Brassicales; Brassicaceae
Description: ATSL186830
Source: RNAcentral